Molecule: long non-coding RNA, 233 nt
Filed under: Homo sapiens (human)
Lineage: Eukaryota; Metazoa; Chordata; Mammalia; Primates; Hominidae
Description: HSALNT0193384
Source: RNAcentral
UUGUACUCAGGAGGCUGAGGCAGGGAGGAUCACUUGAUACCAGGAGUUCAAGACCAGCCUGGGCAACACAGCAAGACCCCAUUUCUAAAAAUGAAAAAACAACCCAGGCAUAGCAGUGCACACCUGUAGGAUCAGCUGCUCAGGAGGCUGAGGUAGGAGGAUCAGUGAGCCCAGAAAUUUAAGGAUGCAGUGAUCUGUGGUCGUGCCACUGUACUCCAGUCUGGGUGACAAAG